This 253-nucleotide ribosomal RNA is filed under the name uncultured bacterium. Its description in RNAcentral is "partial 16S ribosomal RNA". It matches the Rfam family "Bacterial small subunit ribosomal RNA", at positions 524 to 776 of the family's 1533-position model. The record is from RNAcentral.
UACAGAGGUCUCAAGCGUUGUCCGGAUUUAUUGGGCGUAAAGAGCGUGUAGGCGGCUAGGUAGGUCCGUUGUGAAAACUCGAGGCUCAACCUCGAGACGUCGAUGGAAACCAUCUAGCUAGAGUCCGGAAGAGGAGAGUGGAAUUCCUGGUGUAGCGGUGAAAUGCGUAGAUAUCGAGAGGAACACCUGCGGCGAAGGCGGGUUGCUGGGCCGACACUGACGCUGAUGCGCGAAAGCCAGGGGAGCGAACGGG